This 1500-nucleotide long non-coding RNA is filed under the name Anas platyrhynchos platyrhynchos (common mallard). RNAcentral's name for it is "lncRNA (ENSAPLG00000026916.1)". The record is from RNAcentral. Lineage: Eukaryota; Metazoa; Chordata; Aves; Anseriformes; Anatidae.
GACCAGCCCUCAAGCACCGUAGAAGCGCUGCGGGACACAACCCCGUGCCUCCUGCUCUCCACUGCUCACCUGGCCGCACUCUCGCUUCCUCCGGACGCCUCACUGGUGAGGACGCACCUGGGGACAGAGCGGGACGGUCCCACGCCUCCACCUGGACCUGGGAGCACCCAGCAGGGCGACAGGCGCCCGGAACAGACCCCACACUCGGCGGGAGGGCGGCGCAGGCUGCGGGCAGGGCCGCCCCCGCGGAAGAAGCGCGCCGCCCCCGCCGCCCCCCGCCGCCCCCCGCCGCCCGCAGGUGGCGCUGCCUGCAGCCGCGCUCAGCCCCGCCGCCGCCGCCGCCGCCGCCGCCGAGCCGGCCGGGCUAGCGCAGCCCCCCGGCGCCGGCCGCAGCCCCUGGGCCCUCCCGCGGCUUCCUCGGCGGGGCCGCGCUUCCCCCGCCUCCCCUCCCUCCUUUUUCCCUCCCUCUCUCCUUCCCUCCAUCCCUCCCGCCGCGCUCCGCGCAUCGCUGCCUCCCCCGUCCCCACGCCAGGCGGACACGGGGGCGCCGCCGCGGCCGUCCGGUGGCCCCCCCGCUCCCGCGGCCAGCGGAGCCGAGCGGAGCCGAGCCGAGCCAAGCAGAGACGAGACGAGCCGAGCCGAGCCGGGAGCCGGCGGGUGCCCGUGGGUGCGGCGCGGGAGGUGGGCGAGCGGCGCGGGGAAUGGAGGACCCCAAAAGCAGCCUGGGGGCCGUGUGACAGCCGGCGGCGCUCGCACACACGCACACGCUCGAAGCGGCCGGGAGCCGGACCCCGGUGCAGAGCCGGGCAGCAGCGCCCUGCCCCGUCCCGCGGGGAGCCAGCAUGGAGUGAGAGCAGCGUGCCGCCACCAGGUAAGGCGGGCAGGGUUCCCCGAAGGGACUCGGAGGACGUGAGGGCUCGGGGGUGGCGUUUCGGUGCCCUGCGGCUCGUGUCGGACGCGUUCCUCCAGCCCCCCACACGCACCCCCCAAGUAACGCCCUUCCCCGAGACCCCCGGCAGCCACGGCGGCGGUGCGGGGGGAUGCGGGGCGCGUUACUUAUGUAACCGGGGGGCGAGCGGUCUCAGCCGCUCCCCGCUGGGCAGACGGCGAGCUGGCGGGCGGGGAGCAGACAGGGAACACGGUAUGGAGGGCGACGGGGGGCUGGCGGUCGGCCCCAGUGGCCCCGUUUCCAGCUGCCGUCGCGGGAGCCUCUCGAGAGGGAGCCCCGCGCCCUCGGGCAGAGCGGUGUCGCCGCGGACCCGGCCGGGGCUGCGCGGGGUUCCCCACGCUCCGGGGCUCGGCAGCCGGCACCCGCCGACAGCGUUGAGAGGGAGAGCCCCGUUCCUCCCAGUCGACCCUCCCCGGCGGCGCUCCGUCUGGGAAAAACUUCAAAGGGAAGGGUGUAGGGGGGCUGUUUUGGCUGCUCCCGUCCCACUCCUCCUCUGGGAGGCCAGCGGGGGGCGGCCCCGCUGGGGGGGAGCCGGGGUCGCGCUGGGCUGA